AUGAAGCUGGAUUCGCUAGUAAUCGCGCAUCAGCCACGGCGCGGUGAAUACGUUCCCGGGCCUUGUACACACCGCCCGUCAAGCCAUGGAAGCCGGGGGUGCCUGAAGUGCGCUGCCGCAAGGAGCGCCCUAGGGUAAAACCGGUGACUGGGGCUAAGUCGUAACAAGGUAAC
Molecule: ribosomal RNA, 173 nt
Filed under: uncultured bacterium
Lineage: Bacteria
Description: partial 16S ribosomal RNA
Rfam family: Bacterial small subunit ribosomal RNA
Source: RNAcentral